UGCAGCGGCUGAGGUGUCCCCAGCCAGUGUUGCUGCCGCCCAUCCACAAACAUGGGGAACAUCUUUGCCAACCUCUUCAAGGGCCUUUUUGGCAAAAAGAAAUGUGCAUCCUCAUGGUGGGGCUGAACACUGCAGGGAAGACGACAAUCCUAUACGAGCUGAAGCUGGGUGAGAUCGUGACCACCAUUCCCACCAUAGGCUUUAACGUGGAGACUGUGGAGUACAAGAACAUCAGCUUCACUGUGUGGGACGUGGGCGGCCAGGACAAGAUCCGGCCUCUGUGGCGCCACUAUUUCCAGAACACACAAGGCCUGAUCUUCGUGGUGGACAGCAAUGACCGAGAGCAUGUAAACGAGGUCCAUGAGGAGCUCAUGCGGAUGCUGGCUGAGGAUGAGCUCAGGGACGCAGUUCUCUUGGUGUUUGCCAACAAGCAGGACCUGUCCAACGCCAUGAAUGCAGCCCAGAUCACAAACAAGCUGGGGCUGCACUCCCUUCGCCACAGGAACUGGUACAUUCAGGCCACCUGCGCCACCAGAGGAUGGGCUCUAUAAAGGACUAGACAGGCUGUCCAGUCAGCUCCAGAACCAGAAGUGAACGCGACACACCCUGGCCCCCCACUCCACCCUCCGCUUCACUCUCCUGUGGCAAACGUGCGACUCUUUGGUAUGAGUGCCAGAAGCUGUCUCCAUGGUUUGGUCACAGUGUGCAUCGCACCAUGCUGUAAAUGUGGCAGACGCAACCUGCAACCAGGUUUUUUAUUUAAUAUAAAUGGUUUUUGUUUCCAAUGAGGCAGUUUCUGGUACUCCUAUGCAAUAUUACUCAACUUUUUUUAUUGUAAAAAGGAACUCACUGUUCUGUGCUGAGAGGGGUUUAGGGCUGCAGGCACCUGGCCAUCAGGAGCCACUGUGGGAGCUGGGCCUUCCUAUCUGGAGGGUUGUGUUGAGAUUUAUGCUGGUGGUUGGUUUUUAACCCA
This is an RNA transcript of Nycticebus coucang (slow loris), 973 nucleotides long. It is a transcript of the gene named ADP-ribosylation factor 1-like, with no coding region annotated. The transcript has a single exon. Lineage: Eukaryota; Metazoa; Chordata; Mammalia; Primates; Lorisidae. The record is from RefSeq and is a predicted model, not a curated record.